Molecule: ribosomal RNA, 531 nt
Filed under: uncultured bacterium
Lineage: Bacteria
Description: bacterial SSU rRNA
Rfam family: Bacterial small subunit ribosomal RNA
Source: RNAcentral
AAUAGAUACCCUGGUAGUCCAUGCUGUAAACGAUGAGAACUAGAUGUUAGGGGGCAUGACCUCUUAGUAUCGAAGCUAACGCGAUAAGUUCUCCGCCUGGGGAGUACGGCCGCAAGGUUAAAACUCAAAGAAAUUGACGGGGGCCCGCACAAGCGGUGGAGCAUGUGGUUUAAUUCGAUGCAACGCGAAGAACCUUACCUACCUUUGAAUCCACGGAACCUAGCAGAGAUGUUGGGGUGCCUUCGGGAACCGUGAGACAGGUGCUGCAUGGCUGUCGUCAGCUCGUGUCGUGAGAUGUUGGGUUAAGUCCCGUAACGAGCGCAACCCUUGUCCUUAGUUGCCAUCAGGUUAUGAUGGGCACUUUAAGGAGACUGCCGGUGAUAAACCGGAGGAAGGUGGGGAUGACGUCAAGUCCUCAUGGCCCUUACAGGUAGGGCUACGACACGUGCUACAAUGGGCAGUACAGAGGGAAGCCAACCCGGCGAGGGGGGUAGCGAAUCUCAUAAAGCUGUUCGUAGUCCGGAUUGGAGU